CGACCCCUUAAGCCCCUGUUGCUUAGCGUUGGGAGCCUGCGGUCCUCCGGGGCGCAUCUCCUCAAAAUGAGUGGCGGAGUCGCGGCGUGCUCUGAGCGUAGUAGAUGUCUUCUCGCUUUGGUAGCGCCCGCGGCAGCUAGCCGUUAACACACGAUAGGGGCUUACCCCCCUAUCUCUUAGU
Molecule: unclassified non-coding RNA, 181 nt
Filed under: uncultured Hypoxylon
Lineage: Eukaryota; Fungi; Ascomycota; Sordariomycetes; Xylariales; Xylariaceae
Description: sequence contains ITS2
Source: RNAcentral